UGCCAGCAGCCGCGGUAAUACGGAGGGUCCAAGCGUUGUUCGGAAUCACUGGGCGUAAAGCGCGUGUAGGCGGUUUCGUCAGUCGGAUGUGAAAUCCCAGGGCUCAACCCUGGACGUGCAUCCGAUACUGCGAAACUAGAAUCCCGGAGGGGGUGGCGGAAUUCCUGGUGUAGAGGUGAAAUUCGUAGAUAUCAGGAGGAACACCUGUGGCGAAGGCGGCCACCUGGACGGGUAUUGACGCUGAGACGCGAAAGCGUGGGUAGCAAACAGGAUUAGAUA
This 279-nucleotide ribosomal RNA is filed under the name uncultured bacterium. RNAcentral describes it as "partial 16S ribosomal RNA". It matches the Rfam family "Bacterial small subunit ribosomal RNA", at positions 506 to 784 of the family's 1533-position model. The record is from RNAcentral.